UGGGCUAAGGGUAGAGGUCGAGAACGAGGCGGAGGUCACUGGAGGUCACCGGAAGUGACGCGUAGGGCUGGACUGCUACUCAUAUGCUGCAGCAAUACCUCAGUUUCAGGAAGCUUUCUUGUUCUUUCCGUCGGCGCGACAUUCAAGAGAGAGACUGCCGCUUUCCUACUCGUACAACUCGAACAAGCUGCUAUCGUUGUUCAGAUUCUUCGCAACAUGGAGAAACCCUACAGGUGUGAGGAGUGCAGCAAGCAGUUUAGUUAACUACAAAAGUUUAGUUUAGUUGAAGCAGUUGCUUGAAAUAGUUAGUUGACUUAUAAAAAGUACAUGUACAUACAAAAAAGAAGAAAAAAACUUCAAUGACAU
Long non-coding RNA from Branchiostoma belcheri (Belcher's lancelet), 366 nucleotides. RefSeq lists it as uncharacterized. Lineage: Eukaryota; Metazoa; Chordata; Leptocardii; Amphioxiformes; Branchiostomatidae. The transcript is spliced from 3 exons. The record is from RefSeq and is a predicted model, not a curated record.